UACGAAGGACCCGAGCGUUAUCCGGAUUCAUUGGGCUUAAAGGGUGCGUAGGCGGUCCUGUAAGUCAGUGGUGAAAGCCCUACGCUUAACGUAGGAACGGCCAUUGAUACUGCAGGUCUUGAGUACAGUUGAGGUUGGCGGAAUGUGUCAUGUAGCGGUGAAAUGCUUAGAUAUGACACAGAACACCGAUUGCGAAGGCAGCUAGCUAAACUGUAACUGACGCUGAGGCACGAAAGCGUGGGUAGCAAACAGG
RNAcentral lists this ribosomal RNA (253 nucleotides) under uncultured bacterium. RNAcentral describes it as "partial 16S ribosomal RNA". It matches the Rfam family "Bacterial small subunit ribosomal RNA", at positions 524 to 776 of the family's 1533-position model. The record is from RNAcentral.